UGGGGAAUAUUGGACAAUGGGCGCAAGCCUGAUCCAGCCAUGCCGCGUGAGUGAUGAAGGCCCUAGGGUUGUAAAGCCCUUUCACCGGUGAAGAUAAUGACGGUAACCGGAGAAGAAGCCCCGGCUAACUUCGUGCCAGCAGCCGCGGUAAUACGAAGGGGGCUAGCGUUGUUCGGAUUUACUGGGCGUAAAGCGCACGUAGGCGGCCUUUUAAGUCAGGGGUGAAAUCCCGGGGCUCAACCCCGGAACUGCCUUUGAUACUGGAAGCCUUGAGUAUGGUGGAGGUGAGUGGAAUUCCGAGUGUAGAGGGGAAAUUCGUAGAUAUUCGGAGGAACACCAGUGGCGAAGGCGGCUCACUGGACCGUUACUGACGCUGAGGUGCGAAAGCGUGGGGAGCAAACAGG
Molecule: ribosomal RNA, 404 nt
Filed under: Actinomycetes bacterium
Lineage: Bacteria; Bacillati; Actinomycetota; Actinomycetes
Description: Actinobacteria bacterium partial 16S ribosomal RNA
Rfam family: Bacterial small subunit ribosomal RNA
Source: RNAcentral